This 301-nucleotide ribosomal RNA is filed under the name uncultured bacterium. Its description in RNAcentral is "partial 16S ribosomal RNA". It matches the Rfam family "Bacterial small subunit ribosomal RNA", at positions 509 to 807 of the family's 1533-position model. The record is from RNAcentral.
CAGCCGCCGCGGGAAUACGAGGGGGGCAAGCGUUGUUCGGAAUUAUUGGGCGUAAAGGGUGCGUAGGCGGUUUGGCAAGUUUGGUGUGAAAUCUUCGGGCUCAACUCGAAGUCUGCAUCGAAAACUGCCGGGCUUGAGUAUGGUAGAGGUGAGUGGAAUUUCCGGUGUAGCGGUGAAAUGCGUAGAUAUCGGAAGGAACACCUGUGGCGAAAGCGGCUCACUGGACCAUAACUGACGCUGAUGCACGAAAGCUAGGGGAGCAAACAGGAUUAGAUACCCCCGUAGUCCCUGUCUCUUAUAC